Long non-coding RNA from Branchiostoma floridae (Florida lancelet), 550 nucleotides. RefSeq lists it as uncharacterized. The record is from RefSeq and is a predicted model, not a curated record. NCBI's taxonomy places the organism in Eukaryota, Metazoa, Chordata, Leptocardii, Amphioxiformes, Branchiostomatidae. The transcript is spliced from 2 exons.
GUAGCGGCUACAUCACCAAGGAUGAAAUUCGCAAGGGCAUGUCUGAGAAUGGCCAAGAGCUGGGCGACGAAGAGCUGGAUGAGAUGAUGAAGGAAAUAGAUACUGACGGAGAUGGGAAGAUCAACUAUGAAGAGUUCAUUAAGAGCCUCGAGAACGACGAAGAGGAAGAGGAGGAAGACUGAGAAUAGCCCCACAUUCUCUGAACGAUUCGAAUAAGUUGCUUUCAAGCAUCCACGAGUAGUGUUAGGUGCUGUAGCUGUAUUAGUUAUGGUGGCUAGGUGUUUUCAAAUGUUAUGACAAUCUUACAGAAAAAAAAGAUACAUAUACCUACACCAUUGAACUAAGAUACAUAUAGCAAGACUAGCAUGUUAAAAACACUUCUUUGUGUUUCUUAGCCCAGCCCGGGAAUUAUGUUAAAAGUUAACAGUUGGGAUGCAUUCUGCGAUGCUGCGGGAUAUACACUUAUCAACAAAUAAAUAUGGUUGCUAUUAAAAUCUCGAUAUGGUCAACUUUGAUGAUUGAAUAAAACGGUUUAACUGAAGUUCUGAUU